UACGGAGGGUGCAAGCGUUAUCCGGAUUUACUGGGUUUAAAGGGUGCGUAGGUGGGUAGGUAAGUCAGUGGUGAAAUCUCCGGGCUUAACUCGGAACGGCCAAGUGAAACUGUCAAACUAGAGUGCGGAAGGGGCAAUCGGAAUUCUUGGUGUAGCGGUGAAAUGCGUAGAUAUCGAGAGGAACACCUGCGGCGAAGGCGGGUUGCUGGGCUGAUACUGACGCUGAUGCGCGAAAGCCAGGGGAGCGAACGGG
This 253-nucleotide ribosomal RNA is filed under the name uncultured prokaryote. RNAcentral describes it as "partial 16S ribosomal RNA". It matches the Rfam family "Bacterial small subunit ribosomal RNA", at positions 524 to 776 of the family's 1533-position model. The record is from RNAcentral.